CAGCUCGUGUCGUGAGAUGUUGGGUUAAGUCCCGUAACGAGCGCAACCCUUGUCCUUAGUUACCAGCACGUUAUGGUGGGCACUCUAAGGAGACUGCCGGUGACAAACCGGAGGAAGGUGGGGAUGACGUCAAGUCAUCAUGGCCCUUACGGCCUGGGCUACACACGUGCUACAAUGGUCGGUACAAAGGGUUGCCAAGCCGCGAGGUGGAGCUAAUCCCAUAAAACCGAUCGUAGUCCGGAUCGCAGUCUGCAACUCGACUGCGUGAAGUCGGAAUCGCUAGUAAUCGUGAAUCAGAAUGUCACGGUGAAUACGUUCCCGGGCCUU
Molecule: ribosomal RNA, 327 nt
Filed under: uncultured Pseudomonas sp.
Lineage: Bacteria; Pseudomonadati; Pseudomonadota; Gammaproteobacteria; Pseudomonadales; Pseudomonadaceae
Also listed under: 1 other name
Description: bacterial SSU rRNA
Rfam family: Bacterial small subunit ribosomal RNA
Source: RNAcentral